GACGAACGCUGGCGGCGUGCCUAAUACAUGCAAGUUGAGCGCUGAAGGUUGGUACUUGUACCAACUGGAUGAGCAGCGAACGGGUGAGUAACGCGUGGGGAAUCUGCCUUUGAGCGGGGGACAACAUUUGGAAACGAAUGCUAAUACCGCAUAAAAACUUUAAACACAAGUUUUAAGUUUGAAAGAUGCAAUUGCAUCACUCAAAGAUGAUCCCGCGUUGUAUUAGCUAGUUGGUGAGGUAAAGGCUCACCAAGGCGAUGAUACAUAGCCGACCUGAGAGGGUGAUCGGCCACAUUGGGACUGAGACACGGCCCAAACUCCUACGGGAGGCAGCAGUAGGGAAUCUUCGGCAAUGGACGAAAGUCUGACCGAGCAACGCCGCGUGAGUGAAGAAGGGUUUCGGAUCGUAAAACUCUGUUGGUAGAGAAGAACGUUAGUGAGAGUGGAAAGCUCAUCAAGUGACGGUAACUACCCAGAAAGGGACGGCUAACUACGUG
Molecule: ribosomal RNA, 497 nt
Filed under: uncultured bacterium
Lineage: Bacteria
Description: partial 16S ribosomal RNA
Rfam family: Bacterial small subunit ribosomal RNA
Source: RNAcentral